Molecule: non-coding RNA, 269 nt
Organism: Delphinapterus leucas (beluga whale)
Lineage: Eukaryota; Metazoa; Chordata; Mammalia; Artiodactyla; Monodontidae
Source: RefSeq, a predicted model, not a curated record
AUUGCAGAUACACUGGUGUCUGUAUUAGUCACAGAACAGGAGUCGAGGAUAUGAGGAAGAAGCAGCCAUGCGAAAAAACUUGAAGCUUUUGGAAAUCUUGAGAGUCCUCAAGGGAGGCACAGCAGCUUGAAGUCCAGGAACAAUCUGGAUGAUAUGGAAUAAACAUUACCUUUAAGACGCGACACGUCCAAAAAGAUAGAUUGAAAACUCCUGCUUUCCAGUACAUCUUUAAAAAAUAUUAUUACUGAUACAGCUUUAUCGGAAGACAC